Molecule: non-coding RNA, 32 nt
Organism: Schistosoma rodhaini
Lineage: Eukaryota; Metazoa; Platyhelminthes; Trematoda; Strigeidida; Schistosomatidae
Source: Rfam
UGACGAGUCCCAAAUAGGACGAAACGCACGUC